Long non-coding RNA from Antechinus flavipes (yellow-footed antechinus), 715 nucleotides. RefSeq lists it as uncharacterized. Lineage: Eukaryota; Metazoa; Chordata; Mammalia; Dasyuromorphia; Dasyuridae. The record is from RefSeq and is a predicted model, not a curated record. The transcript has 2 exons.
AAACAAACCCGCAUACUUAUGGUUGCCGUCAGAUGAAUCCAAUCCUUGGUCUCUGCAACGUGCAGAUGAAGAAGUUAAUCCAGUUGUUGAAUUGGCCAGAAAAAUGAGAAAAAUUGGAGACAAGCUGUAUUUGAAAUAUCUUCUUGCCAAGUUGAUAUCCCAUUUUGAAGAUCCUCAGAAUAUUUCCUUAAAAAGGAUGUGAGGUGAAAUGGGAACCAUGAGGAGCUUUUUGAUGAAUGCUCAUAAGAAUAUUCAUAGUAGAAAAAAAUUCCGAGGCUUAUGUCAUUCUUCUCAAUCAAAAUCAAGAGCAAGAUAAAAAGCCAAAAAGGAUGCUGGAACCUGGAAGCUUUCUUGUUUCAGCAUUUUUCACUGUGCAGCAUCAAUACUGGUACAGAUGUCUAUUUCCGGAACAGUGUGUCUCAGCUUCUUAACAGGAUUUCUGCUGUGUGCCAGAUAAAUGUGGUUCAAUCUGUAUACAUCAAAAGACCAUGUGCAUUUCCAAUUAAAUUGUGUUGGUAAACAAGCCACAUUUUGUCUGGCUUCUCCCUGAAACGACAGAUUGCUUGGACUGACUUGGUUUCUUUUAGAAGAGUAUUUGUAGAUUUAACGAAUUGUUAUGCCCUCUAAUCUGUGAUGUGCUAUGUGAAUUUGUUAACUAUGUAUGACAUUUAUUCAGUGUUGGAUCUGUUACUGCAUUAAACUUAUCAAGCCUCCA